AUUGAACGCUGGCGGCAGGCCUAACACAUGCAAGUCGAGCGGCAGCACGGGUACUUGUACCUGGUGGCGAGCGGCGGACGGGUGAGUAAUGCCUAGGAAUCUGCCUGGUAGUGGAGGAUAACGUCCGGAAACGGGCGCUAAUACCGCAUACGUCCUACGGGAGAAAGUGGGGGAUCUUCGGACCUCACGCUAUUAGAUGAGCCUAGGUCGGAUUAGCUAGUUGGUGAGGUAAUGGCUCACCAAGGCGACGAUCCGUAACUGGUCUGAGAGGAUGAUCAGUCACACUGGAACUGAGACACGGUCCAGACUCCUACGGGAGGCAGCAGUGGGGAAUAUUGGACAAUGGGCGAAAGCCUGAUCCAGCCAUGCCGCGUGUGUGAAGAAGGUCUUCGGAUUGUAAAGCACUUUAAGUUGGGAGGAAGGGCAGUUACCUAAUACGUGAUUGUUUUGACGUUACCGACAGAAUAAGCACCGGCUAACUCUGUGCCAGCAGCCGCGGUAA
RNAcentral lists this ribosomal RNA (502 nucleotides) under uncultured bacterium. Its description in RNAcentral is "partial 16S ribosomal RNA". It matches the Rfam family "Bacterial small subunit ribosomal RNA", at positions 30 to 523 of the family's 1533-position model. The record is from RNAcentral.